GAUGAACGCUGUCUACAGGCUUAACACAUGCAAGUCGAGGGGAAACGACGGGGAAGCUUGCUUCCCCGGGCGUCGACCGGCGCACGGGUGAGUAGCGCGUAUCCAACCUGCCUCUGACUGAGGGAUAACCCGUCGAAAGUCGGCCUAAUACCUCAUGGCAUCGUCUGCGGGCAUCCAACGACGAUUAAAGAUUUCAUCGGUCAGGGAUGGGGAUGCGUCUGAUUAGCUUGUUGGCGGGGUAACGGCCCACCAAGGCUACGAUCAGUAGGGGUUCUGAGAGGAAGGUCCCCCACAUUGGAACUGAGACACGGUCCAAACUCCUACGGGAGGCAGCAGUGAGGAAUAUUGGUCAAUGGGCGGGAGCCUGAACCAGCCAAGUAGCGUGCAGGAUGACGGCCCUAUGGGUUGUAAACUGCUUUUAUGCGGGGAUAAAGUGAGGGACGUGUCCUUCAUUGCAGGUACCGCAUGAAUAAGGACCGGCUAAUUCCGUG
RNAcentral lists this ribosomal RNA (491 nucleotides) under uncultured bacterium. RNAcentral describes it as "partial 16S ribosomal RNA". It matches the Rfam family "Bacterial small subunit ribosomal RNA", at positions 28 to 507 of the family's 1533-position model. The record is from RNAcentral.